This 253-nucleotide ribosomal RNA is filed under the name uncultured bacterium. Its description in RNAcentral is "partial 16S ribosomal RNA". It matches the Rfam family "Bacterial small subunit ribosomal RNA", at positions 524 to 776 of the family's 1533-position model. The record is from RNAcentral.
GACAGAGGGUGCAAACGUUGCUCGGAAUCACUGGGCGUAAAGAGCGUGUAGGCGGUCCGGUAAGUCGGCUGUGAAAGUCCAGGGCUCAACCCUGGGAUGCCGGUCGAUACUGCCGGACUAGAGUUCGGAAGAGGCGAGUGGAAUUCCCGGUGUAGCGGUGAAAUGCGCAGAUAUCGGGAGGAACACCUGCGGCGAAGGCGGGUUGCUGGGCUGACACUGACGCUGAGGCGCGAAAGCUAGGGGAGCGAACGGG